GGCUCGGUAGCUUAGUUGGUAAAGCGCUCGUUAAGCAUACAAGAGUCCUGGGUUCAAAUCCCAGCCGCCC
This is a non-coding RNA of Aedes aegypti (yellow fever mosquito), 70 nucleotides long. The record is from Rfam. Lineage: Eukaryota; Metazoa; Arthropoda; Insecta; Diptera; Culicidae.